GACGAACGCUGGCGGCGUGCUUAACACAUGCAAGUCGAACGGAAAGGCCCUGCUUUUGGUGGGUGCUCGAGUGGCGAACGGGUGAGUAACACGUGAGUAACCUGCCCUUGACUUUGGGAUAACUUCAGGAAACGGGGGCUAAUACCGGAUAGGAGCUCCUGCUGCAUGGGGGGGGUUGGAAAGUUUGGGCGGUUGGGGAUGGACUCGCGGCUUAUCAGCUUGUUGGUGGGGUGGUGGCUUACCAAGGCUUGGACGGGUGGCCGGCCUGGGGGGGUGACCGGCAAAAUGGGGAUGGAGAUCGGGCCAGGACCCUACGGGGAGGAAGCAGUGGGGAAUAUGGCACAAGGGGCGGAAGCCUGAUGCGGCAACGCCGGGGCCGGGAUGACGGCUUUCGGUUGUUAAACCGUUUCCGCCGGUGACGAAGUGGGAGUGACGGUAAUUGGUAAAGAAGCACCGGCUAACUACGUG
Molecule: ribosomal RNA, 468 nt
Filed under: uncultured bacterium
Lineage: Bacteria
Description: partial 16S ribosomal RNA
Rfam family: Bacterial small subunit ribosomal RNA
Source: RNAcentral